GAAAUGCGAUAAGUAAUGUGAAUUGCAGAAUUCAGUGAAUCAUCGUAUCUUUGAACGCAGCUUGCGCUCCUUGGUAUUCCUUGGAGCAUGCCUGUUUGAGUAUCAUGAAAUCUUCAAAGUAAAUCUUUUGUUAACUCAAUUGGUUUCUACUUUGGUAUUGGAGGUCUUUGCAGCUUCACACCUGCUCCUCUUUGUUCAUUAGCUGGAUCUCAGUGUUAUGCUUGGUUCCACUCGGCGUGAUAAGUUAUCUAUCGCUGAGGACACUGUAAAAGGUGGCCAAGGUAAAUGCAGAUGAACCGCUUCUAAUAGUCCAUUGACUUGGACAAUACUUUUAUGAUCUGAUCUCAAAUCAGGUAGGACUACCCGCUGAACUUAAGC
This 378-nucleotide unclassified non-coding RNA is filed under the name plant metagenome. RNAcentral's name for it is "partial contains 5.8S ribosomal RNA, internal transcribed spacer 2, and large subunit ribosomal RNA". The stretch from base 1 to 105 matches the Rfam family "5.8S ribosomal RNA", at positions 50 to 154 of the family's 154-position model. The record is from RNAcentral.